UACGUAGGGUGCGAGCGUUAAUCGGAAUUACUGGGCGUAAAGCGUGCGCAGGCGGUGAUGUAAGACAGGUGUGAAAUCCCCGGGCUUAACCUGGGAACUGCAUUUGUGACUGCAUAGCUAGAGUACGGUAGAGGGGGAUGGAAUUCCGCGUGUAGCAGUGAAAUGCGUAGAUAUGCGGAGGAACACCUGCGGCGAAGGCGGGUUGCUGGGCCGACACUGACGCUGAUGCGCGAAAGCCAGGGGAGCGAACGGG
Molecule: ribosomal RNA, 253 nt
Filed under: uncultured bacterium
Lineage: Bacteria
Description: partial 16S ribosomal RNA
Rfam family: Bacterial small subunit ribosomal RNA
Source: RNAcentral